ACCAUAGGCCCUGGUUACAUGGGAGACAUGAACUCUCUUGCCUUCCCCCCAGGGUCCGGGGCCCUGUGUGCAAGUGAGCUACCAAGUGCGGUUCUGGGCUGGAGAGAAGAUGCAGAUGCAGGAAGGGGUGCCCUGCUGUUCGUGGCCCGUCCCUGCCUGGGCACAGUGGGUCAGGGUGUCUGCCGAGGAUGGUGUCCCCUGGGUGCCCUCCACCAACCUCUCCCUGGUCUGCUUGGGUAAGAGGCAGGAACCCUCUCUGCUAGGGAUGGGAGUGGGCAGGGCCUCCUGAAUGGGCAGCCAGGACUCCCCUAGCUGCAGACUCUGCACCCCAGGACGUGGUGGUCAGCAGCAUCGCUGGGACCCUCGGGCUGCUGGUGAGCUGGCAACGGGGGACCCAGGAGCCAUGGGAGUACGUGGUGGCCUGGGUCCCAGACGGAAAAGCCCUGGAGGAUGUCAGCUGGACCCGGCUUCCUCCGAGGAACCUCAGUGCUGAGCUGCUAGGCAAUUUCACAAGAGGGGUCCCCUACCGCAUCACAGUGACAGCAGUCUUUCCUGAGGGCCUGGCCCCUGCUCCUUCAGUCUGGGGGUUUGGAGAGGAGCUAGCACCUGUAGCAGGUCCAGCAGUUUGGCGGCUCCCAGAUGACCCCUUGGGGACCCCUGCAGUGGCCUGGGGAGAGGUCUCAAGGCAGCAGCUCCGGGGCCACCUCUCCUACUACACCUGGUGUGCGCGGAGUGGCUCCAGACCCUCAGUCUGUGUGAACGGUGAGCCUCCUGCCUCCUGCCCCUCCAUCAGCCCCCAAGGCCAGGCCGACCCCACCCCUGGCCCGGGGGCCCUCUGGCUGUCUCUGUGCCCUGGCUGUCCUCC
This 865-nucleotide long non-coding RNA is filed under the name Fukomys damarensis (Damara mole-rat). RNAcentral's name for it is "lncRNA (ENSFDAG00000023463.1)". The record is from RNAcentral. Lineage: Eukaryota; Metazoa; Chordata; Mammalia; Rodentia; Bathyergidae.